GUGGGGAAUAUUGGACAAUGGGCGAAAGCCUGAUCCAACCAUGCCGCGUGUGUGAAGAAGGCCUUCGGGUUGUAAAGCACUUUAAGCGAGGAGGAAGGUUCGUCACCUAAUACGUGACGGAAUUGACGUUACUCGCAGAAUAAGCACCGGCUAACUACGUGCCAGCAGCCGCGGUAAUACGUAGGGUGCGAGCGUUAAUCGGAAUUACUGGGCGUAAAGCGCGCGUAGGUGGUUUUGUAAGUUGGAGGUGAAAGCCCCGGGCUCAACCUGGGAACUGCCUCCAAAACUGCAUGACUAGAGUACGGUAGAGGGUAGUGGAAUUUCCUGUGUAGCGGUGAAAUGCGUAGAUAUAGGAAGGAACACCAGUGGCGAAGGCGACUACCUGGACUGAUACUGACACUGAGGUGCGAAAGCGUGGGGAGCAAACAGGAUUAGAAACCCCAGUAGUCC
This 450-nucleotide ribosomal RNA is filed under the name uncultured bacterium. Its description in RNAcentral is "partial 16S ribosomal RNA". It matches the Rfam family "Bacterial small subunit ribosomal RNA", at positions 354 to 796 of the family's 1533-position model. The record is from RNAcentral.